Molecule: unclassified non-coding RNA, 424 nt
Filed under: soil metagenome
Description: partial contains 5.8S ribosomal RNA, internal transcribed spacer 2, and large subunit ribosomal RNA
Rfam family: 5.8S ribosomal RNA (bases 5-119)
Source: RNAcentral
GAUGAGAACGUAGCGAAAUGCGAUAAGUAAUGUGAAUUGCAGAAUUCAGUGAAUCAUCGAAUCUUUGAACGCACCUUGCGCUCCUUGGUAUUCCAAGGAGCAUGCCUGUUUGAGUAUCAUUAAAUUAUCAACUGUGCCAAUUUGGUUACAGAUUGGAUGUGGGAGAUUCUUUUUGCAGGCCUUUGACUUCUCUUUGAGAAAAAAAAUAAAAGGUCGGCUCUCCUGAAAUGUAUUAGCAGUGCCUUUGUUGGUUCAUUAGGUGUGAUAAAUUGUCUACAUCUUCGCAUGAUACCUUCAUUUGUAAAGGUCAUAUUGCUUCUAAAUUGUCUUUGAUUGGACGCAAAACAUAUAUAAUGUUUGACAAACUUGAUCUCAAAUCAGGCAGGACUACCCGCUGAACUUAAGCAUAUCAAUAAGCGGAGGA